UGUUCAAUUUCUCAAUCACUUGACCUUCUGGUAACUCCCAAUUAAAACCGUGAAUCGAAGUAGCAGUCAUAAAUUGCGCUAUUCUUUUUCCUAAGUGGAAACUACCACCACACCCAUUUCUCAGAUUUUUCCCAUCCUCAAACCCACCGUCAGAAAAGUUCACGGACGCAUCCAUUUUUCUUUGACAAAUUUAAAAGAGGCCCAUAUCUUCUGAAAUUUUUUAUUUUUUCAAAUGGAAAUAAAGUUGGGUGUUUCCUCGUCAGGAAGAGAGGAAAUAAUUUAGAGGUCUGAUUUUAUCAUAGAGAGAGGAACUUACUUUUAUAUAAACAAGGAAACUCUUGGACGACGACGACAACGUUAACAUCCUUCUUGUAUUAUUUCACUCUGUUUUAAUCCAUACCCUAGAAUCAUAAUAUCGUUACCUAGAAUCAUCAAUCAGAUCAGGAAGAAAGAAAGAAGGUUACAAAUUCUCUUCAGAUUUGUCUCAUUCAGUUACUCAUGACUGAAAUCGAUGAAGGCAAAUCGGAAUCGGACAAUUUCUUGAUGGAAUUUUAUAUCCAUGAUAACAUACUUAUAGGGGAAGGUGACUCAGAAACAGAAAUUGUUUCUCAUAUACCAGUAUGUCCAGUGAUUGUGUUUGUCAAUUCUAGAAGUAGUGGACAGCUAGGUGGUGAUUUGCUUAUAACUUACCGCAACCUACUAAACAAGCAUCAUGUAUUUAUUAAUUUUCAGCCUGUACACAGGUGCUUGCAGAAAAGUGGAAAUCGACAUUGAUAGAUGUUUUUACUGUUAAUUUUCCUUUGGUUGUCAUCUUUAUAAAAGUCUUUCUUUUGUUGACACAUAUAUCAAAUUGUUCAAGGAUCUCUUGUUGUUCCUGUUGGAAAUUUAA
This is a long non-coding RNA of Papaver somniferum (opium poppy), 889 nucleotides long. RefSeq lists it as uncharacterized. The transcript has 3 exons. NCBI's taxonomy places the organism in Eukaryota, Viridiplantae, Streptophyta, Magnoliopsida, Ranunculales, Papaveraceae. The record is from RefSeq and is a predicted model, not a curated record.